This 444-nucleotide ribosomal RNA is filed under the name uncultured bacterium. RNAcentral describes it as "partial 16S ribosomal RNA". It matches the Rfam family "Bacterial small subunit ribosomal RNA", at positions 338 to 795 of the family's 1533-position model. The record is from RNAcentral.
CCUACGGGGGGCAGCAGUGGGGAAUAUUGGGCAAUGGAGGCAACUCUUAUCCAGCAAUGCCGCGUGAAUGAAGAAGGUUUUCGGAUUGUAAAGUUCUUUAAUUGGGGACGAAAAAAAUGAUGGUACCCAAGGAAUAAGCCCCGGCUAACUGAGUGCCAGCAGCCGCGGUAAAUCGUAGGGGGCAAGCGUUGUUCGGGAUGACUGGGCGUAAAGGGUGUGUCGGCGGUGUAGGCAGUUAGGAGUGAAAUACCUAGGGCUUAACUCAGGUGCUGCUUCUAAAACUGCUAUGCUUGAGUGCAGUAGAGGAAAGUGGAAUUCCUAGUGUAGCGGUGAAAUGCGUAGAGAUCACGCAGAACACCGAUUGCGAAGGCAGCAUACCGGCGCCCAACUGACGCUGAGGCACGAAAGCGUGGGGAGCGAACAGGAUUAGAUACCCGUGUAGUC